CCAUCCCCCUUAACUUCCCCCGUUGGUCCGUUUGGCCUUUCCGACCCGUACCCCAACGUAACUUUACUUUAAGUUCCGAAGGUACGUAAGUCGGGACCGGACCGUACGGCCUUUGGCCGUACGGGUUCGGUAAUUUGGUACUUUUCCGGUACUUGGUACUCGGUAACCGGAAGGGGAACCGGGGGCCGGCCGGGACGGAAGUUACGGUUUCCGGGACGUACUUACGGAAAGGGUUAAGGUUAGGACGGUCGGUAGUUAACUUAAACCUAACGUCGAAACGUAAAGGUAGUACUUCCUUACUUACUACUAUACCCCUACCCGUAAAGGAAAAGUACUUCGUAGUAGUUCCGUAACCCGUAACCCGACGGAAAGGGGACGGGGCCGUUCCUUAACCGUUAAAGGUAACGAACGUAGUACGUACGUGGGGUGAAGUCGGGAACAAGGUAGCCGUAUCGGAAGGUGCGGCUGGAUCACC
Molecule: ribosomal RNA, 475 nt
Filed under: uncultured bacterium
Lineage: Bacteria
Description: partial 16S ribosomal RNA
Source: RNAcentral